This 489-nucleotide ribosomal RNA is filed under the name uncultured bacterium. RNAcentral describes it as "bacterial SSU rRNA". It matches the Rfam family "Bacterial small subunit ribosomal RNA", at positions 21 to 507 of the family's 1533-position model. The record is from RNAcentral.
GGCUCAGAUUGAACGCUGGCGGCAUGCCUUACACAUGCAAGUCGAACGGCGAGCACGGGGCAACCUGGUGGCGAGUGGCGAACGGGUGAGUAAUGCAUCGGAACGUGCCAUUGAGUGGGGGAUAACGUAGCGAAAGUUGCGCUAAUACCGCAUAUUCUGUGAGCAGGAAAGCAGGGGACCGCAAGGCCUUGCGCUCUUUGAGCGGCCGAUGUCAGAUUAGCUAGUUGGUGAGGUAACGGCUUACCAAGGCGACGAUCUGUAGCGGGUCUGAGAGGAUGAUCCGCCACACUGGAACUGAGACACGGUCCAGACUCCUACGGGAGGCAGCAGUGGGGAAUUUUGGACAAUGGGCGCAAGCCUGAUCCAGCCAUGCCGCGUGAGUGAAGAAGGCUUCGGGUUGUAAAGCUCUUUCGGCCGGGAAGAAAUCGCAUGGGUUAAUACCCUGUGUGGAUGACGGUACCGGAAUAAGAAGCACCGGCUAACUACGUG